UACGUAGGGGGCAAGCGUUGUCCGGAAUCAUUGGGCGUAAAGCGUGCGCAGGCGGUUCGUUAUGUCCGUUGUGAAAGCCCCGGGCUCAACCUGGGAAUGGCAAUGGAAACUGGCGGGCUAGAGUGUGGCAGAGGGGGGUGGAAUUCCGCGUGUAGCAGUGAAAUGCGUAGAGAUGCGGAGGAACACCGAUGGCGAAGGCAGCCCCCUGGGCUAGCACUGACGCUCAGGCACGAAAGCGUGGGGAGCAAACAGG
RNAcentral lists this ribosomal RNA (253 nucleotides) under uncultured bacterium. Its description in RNAcentral is "partial 16S ribosomal RNA". It matches the Rfam family "Bacterial small subunit ribosomal RNA", at positions 524 to 776 of the family's 1533-position model. The record is from RNAcentral.